UCAGGUUCCCACUUCAUAGCGUCCUUCAUAUGUUCGAAGCAUGGAAAGCCCAUAUCAGAUCUGAUUUCGUCGUAAACCGGACAGUCCAGCAAAAUGUGUUUCUCAUCCUCGAUGUGGCUAUCAGUGCCGCAGCAAGGGCAUACUCGCUCCUCCCUAGGUAUAUAACGCCGUCCCUUACGCGCUCUGUUAGCCGCCAGUGCCCAACAGCAAAG
Molecule: long non-coding RNA, 212 nt
Filed under: Volvox carteri
Lineage: Eukaryota; Viridiplantae; Chlorophyta; Chlorophyceae; Chlamydomonadales; Volvocaceae
Description: long non-coding RNA (VCAR_LNC003381)
Source: RNAcentral